This 586-nucleotide ribosomal RNA is filed under the name uncultured Methylobacillus sp. RNAcentral's name for it is "bacterial SSU rRNA". It matches the Rfam family "Bacterial small subunit ribosomal RNA", at positions 46 to 625 of the family's 1533-position model. The record is from RNAcentral. Lineage: Bacteria; Pseudomonadati; Pseudomonadota; Betaproteobacteria; Nitrosomonadales; Methylophilaceae.
GCUUUACCAUGCAAGUCGAACGGCAGCACGGGAGCUUGCUCCUGGUGGCGAGUGGCGAACGGGUGAGUAAUAUAUCGGANCGUGUCCAAUAAUGGGGGAUAACUAUCCGAAAGGAUAGCUAAUACCGCAUACGCCCUGAGGGGGAAAGUGGGGGAUCUUCGGACCUCACGUUAAUGGAGCGGCCGAUAUCUGAUUAGCUAGUUGGUGGGGUAAAGGCCCACCGAGGCGACNAUCAGUAGCUGGUCUGAGAGGACGACCAGCCACACUGGGACUGAGACACGGCCCAGACUCCUACGGGAGGCAGCAGUGGGGAAUUUUGGACAAUGGGGGCAACCCUGAUCCAGCCAUGCCGCGUGAGUGAAGAAGGCCUUCGGGUUGUAAAGCUCUUUCGCAAGGGAAGAAACGAUGCANACGAAUNAUCUGCGUUNAUGACNNGUACCUUGAUAAGAAGCACCGGCUAACUACGUGCCAGCAGCCGCGGUAAUACGUANGGUGCGAGCGUUUAUCGGAAUUACUGGGCGUAAAGCGAGCGCAGGCGGGUCUGCAAGUCAGAUGUGAAAUCCCCGGGCUCAACCUGGGAACUGCG